Molecule: ribosomal RNA, 253 nt
Filed under: uncultured bacterium
Lineage: Bacteria
Description: partial 16S ribosomal RNA
Rfam family: Bacterial small subunit ribosomal RNA
Source: RNAcentral
UACGUAGGGUGCAAGCGUUAUCCGGAAUUAUUGGGCGUAAAGAGCUCGUAGGCGGUUUGUCGCGUCUGCUGUGAAAACUGGGGGCUCAACCCCCAGCCUGCAGUGGGUACGGGCAGACUAGAGUGCGGUAGGGGAGAUUGGAAUUCCUGGUGUAGCGGUGGAAUGCGCAGAUAUCAGGAGGAACACCGAUGGCGAAGGCGGGUCUCUGGGCCGAUACUGACGCUGAGGAGCGAAAGCGUGGGGAGCGAACAGG